GGGCCGGUAGCUCAGUUGGUUAGAGCGCACCCCUGAUAAGGGUGAGGUCGGAGGUUCGAAUCCUCCUCGGCCCACCA
RNAcentral lists this transfer RNA (77 nucleotides) under Pontixanthobacter gangjinensis. RNAcentral's name for it is "tRNA-Ile". It matches the Rfam family "tRNA". Rfam says of the family: Transfer RNA (tRNA) molecules are approximately 80 nucleotides in length. Their secondary structure includes four short double-helical elements and three loops (D, anti-codon, and T loops). RNAcentral also lists the same sequence under 9 other names. The record is from RNAcentral. Lineage: Bacteria; Pseudomonadati; Pseudomonadota; Alphaproteobacteria; Sphingomonadales; Erythrobacteraceae.